Long non-coding RNA from Syzygium oleosum, 1877 nucleotides. RefSeq lists it as uncharacterized. Lineage: Eukaryota; Viridiplantae; Streptophyta; Magnoliopsida; Myrtales; Myrtaceae. The record is from RefSeq and is a predicted model, not a curated record. The transcript has 2 exons.
UUCGUUUCCUCAUCCGAAGGAGGAGAAGAAAAGCAAACAGGUGUCUCCCCCUCUCUGCCCUGCACACAAAUUUUGAAUUUUUCGCGCUGAGAUUUCGCUGGUCCGCCGUUCCUUGCUGCUCCGGCGUUCGUCAAGCGGCCAUCCCCAGCCAUCGCCGACGAAGCACAUUAAGGCCACCCCCUGCUCCGACGAAGCAAAGGUCUCCCUCGUCUUCGCUCUCAGCUCCGGCGUUCGUCAAGCUCUCGUUCCUCUGCCCUCGCCGACGAAGCACAUUAAGGCCACCCCUGCUCCGACGAAGCAAAGGUCUCCCUCAUCUUCGCUCUCAGCUCCGGCGUUCGUCAAGCGGUCGUUCCUCCGCCCUCGCCGACAAUGCACAUUAAGGCCACCCCUGCUCCGACGAAGCAAAGGUCUCCCUCUCUUGCGAUCCGACGCUCGCUCGCUCGCUCGCUGCUCCAGCGUUCGUCAAGUGGCUGUUCCCCCACCGUCGCCGACGAAGCACAUUAAGGCCACCCCUGCUCCGAUGAAGCUCCAGUGUAUUCAGUCUGCCCACGUUACAAGGAAAAUAUUCAGGUUCAUCUGCUUUGAGAGCAGUUUGCCGCUUUCUACUUUCUUGGCUUAUACUCUAUCAUUUCAAGCAGACUGUAUUACCAGUUUUUCCGAAUUAGAUGUGCAGCUGGUAAAUUUAUUUUGACAGCAGUUUCCCAGAGUCGACUAUAUAACUCACUUUUUCAUUACUGCAGUUUAUUUUCUCCACUGCCAUUGAUGGUAAGAUAAAAGCUUGGCUGUAUGAUUGCCUUGGAUCUAGAGUGGACUAUGAUCCUCCCGGUUUUGCAAGGGGCAGAAAUAUUGUUAUACCCAACUGUUAUUGGUUCUGAACCACAGGAUGAAGCACGUUAAGGUCGCCCCUGCUUCGACGCUCACUCCGUCCUUGCUCCGGCGCUCGUUCGAAAAAAUCCGGCGCUCGCCGCUCUCUGCUCCAUUGCUCUCUUCUCGCCUCCCCAUGAAGCUGGAGCUGUCAGCCUCCCCAAAGACUAGAUUUUCUCUUCUAUCACGGAGGUUGAGAAGACGAUUGACCACGUUCAGGAAGUGAGCUCGGGAUUUUUAAACACUGCACAGAGUAUUUUCCAAAUUGUUGCAGAUGCUCUGAAACCGGGUGUAGAUGUUGCGGCUUCAUUGUUGCAGAAAGCUGGAGAACUCCCCAGCUCUUUUCGAGGCUUCAAAGAAAGCCCAAGAAGCAAUGCAGAGCUCAGGCAUUGAUGCACAGCCUAUCAUGAGUGCUGCAAAGGUUUCUCCCUUGCAUAAGUUUCACAGUUUGUAUGCUUUGUCCCAACCACAGUUUGUAACAACAAAUGCGAAAUCACGGUUUCAGCAGAUCCCAUUAUACUCUUAUGAUAUGCUAGAAUAGGCUGAACAUGAACUACUCAUUCUUUCUAAAGCCAUUGUUAUUUGAGAUGGGUUCUUAAUGCCAUCCUAGGUUUUAAUUCACUGGUCUGAGUAUACCGUUUUGUACUUGCGAGGUCAGCACGUUGUUUUUUCACUUACACGUACUAAUCUUACUUUUAUUUUUCUUUUUUAUCGAAGAUGUCUUGAUCUGCAGAUUAAGAAGGCGCUCGCCUCGGCCUCCGGAGAGCCCCAUUGGCAUCUUUUCCUCCAGGAGCCCUGCCAUCGUGACCUUCGUGCUCGUGAAGGCCAAGCAAGAUGAACUGAAGAACACUGAUGAGAGGAUACAGGGAUUGAGGCAUAAUGUGCAGCAGUCAGAUGUCUUUCUUGUUUGUGUAUUAUUUGAUCUUUUAUUAGGACUACUUGUCAAGAAAGAAUAGAUGGUUGGAACUUGUAAUUUUGAUAGCUUAAAUCAAAGGCUCAGCUAUUCCCCCCUC